UGCUCAGGAUGAACGCUGGCGGUCAGCCUAACACAUGCAAGUCGAACGGGUUCUUCGGAACCAGUGGCGGACGGGUGAGUAACACGUGAGAAUCUGCCCUCAGGAGGGGGACAACCGCUGGAAACGGCGGCUAAUACCCCAUAAGCCCACGGGUGAAAGUUCCGGCGCCCGAGGAGGAGCUCGCGUCCGAUUAGCUAGUUGGUGGGGUAAGAGCCUACCAAGGCGACGAUCGGUAGCUGGUCUGAGAGGAUGAGCAGCCACACUGGGACUGAGACACGGCCCAGACUCCUACGGGGGGCAGCAGUGGGGAAUUUUCCGCAAUGGGCGAAAGCCUGACGGAGCUAGACCGCGUGAGGGAAGAAGGCCCUUGGGUCGUAAACCUCUUUUCUCGGGGAAGGCCCCCGACGGUACCCGAGGAAUCAGCCUCGGCUAACUCCGUGCCAGCAGCCGCGGUAAUACGGAGGAGGCAAGCGUUAUCCGGAAUUAUUGGGCGUAAAGCGUUCGCAGGUGGCUUUUCAAGUCCGCGGUUAAAGCCCGGGGCUCAACCCCGGUUCGGCCGUGGAAACUGAAAGGCUAGAGCGCGGCAGGGGUAGAGGGAAUUCCCAGUGUAGCGGUGAAAUGCGUAGAGAUUGGGAAGAACACCUGUGGCGAAAGCGCUCUACUGGGCCGACGCUGGCACUCAGGGACGAAAGCUAGGGGAGCGAAAGGGAUUAGAUACCCCUGUAGUCCUAGCC
Molecule: ribosomal RNA, 734 nt
Filed under: uncultured Halothece sp.
Lineage: Bacteria; Bacillati; Cyanobacteriota; Cyanophyceae; Chroococcales; Halothecacae
Description: bacterial SSU rRNA
Rfam family: Bacterial small subunit ribosomal RNA
Source: RNAcentral